This 1528-nucleotide ribosomal RNA is filed under the name Klebsiella pneumoniae. RNAcentral describes it as "bacterial SSU rRNA". It matches the Rfam family "Bacterial small subunit ribosomal RNA". Lineage: Bacteria; Pseudomonadati; Pseudomonadota; Gammaproteobacteria; Enterobacterales; Enterobacteriaceae. The record is from RNAcentral.
AGAGUUUGAUCAUGGCUCAGAUUGAACGCUGGCGGCAGGCCUAACACAUGCAAGUCGAGCGGUAGCACAGAGAGCUUGCUCUCGGGUGACGAGCGGCGGACGGGUGAGUAAUGUCUGGGAAACUGCCUGAUGGAGGGGGAUAACUACUGGAAACGGUAGCUAAUACCGCAUAAUGUCGCAAGACCAAAGUGGGGGACCUUCGGGCCUCAUGCCAUCAGAUGUGCCCAGAUGGGAUUAGCUUGUAGGUGGGGUAACGGCUCACCUAGGCGACGAUCCCUAGCUGGUCUGAGAGGAUGACCAGCCACACUGGAACUGAGACACGGUCCAGACUCCUACGGGAGGCAGCAGUGGGGAAUAUUGCACAAUGGGCGCAAGCCUGAUGCAGCCAUGCCGCGUGUGUGAAGAAGGCCUUCGGGUUGUAAAGCACUUUCAGCGGGGAGGAAGGCGGUGAGGUUAAUAACCUCAUCGAUUGACGUUACCCGCAGAAGAAGCACCGGCUAACUCCGUGCCAGCAGCCGCGGUAAUACGGAGGGUGCAAGCGUUAAUCGGAAUUACUGGGCGUAAAGCGCACGCAGGCGGUCUGUCAAGUCGGAUGUGAAAUCCCCGGGCUCAACCUGGGAACUGCAUUCGAAACUGGCAGGCUAGAGUCUUGUAGAGGGGGGUAGAAUUCCAGGUGUAGCGGUGAAAUGCGUAGAGAUCUGGAGGAAUACCGGUGGCGAAGGCGGCCCCCUGGACAAAGACUGACGCUCAGGUGCGAAAGCGUGGGGAGCAAACAGGAUUAGAUACCCUGGUAGUCCACGCCGUAAACGAUGUCGAUUUGGAGGUUGUGCCCUUGAGGCGUGGCUUCCGGAGCUAACGCGUUAAAUCGACCGCCUGGGGAGUACGGCCGCAAGGUUAAAACUCAAAUGAAUUGACGGGGGCCCGCACAAGCGGUGGAGCAUGUGGUUUAAUUCGAUGCAACGCGAAGAACCUUACCUGGUCUUGACAUCCACAGAACUUAGCAGAGAUGCUUUGGUGCCUUCGGGAACUGUGAGACAGGUGCUGCAUGGCUGUCGUCAGCUCGUGUUGUGAAAUGUUGGGUUAAGUCCCGCAACGAGCGCAACCCUUAUCCUUUGUUGCCAGCGGUUCGGCCGGGAACUCAAAGGAGACUGCCAGUGAUAAACUGGAGGAAGGUGGGGAUGACGUCAAGUCAUCAUGGCCCUUACGACCAGGGCUACACACGUGCUACAAUGGCAUAUACAAAGAGAAGCGACCUCGCGAGAGCAAGCGGACCUCAUAAAGUAUGUCGUAGUCCGGAUUGGAGUCUGCAACUCGACUCCAUGAAGUCGGAAUCGCUAGUAAUCGUAGAUCAGAAUGCUACGGUGAAUACGUUCCCGGGCCUUGUACACACCGCCCGUCACACCAUGGGAGUGGGUUGCAAAAGAAGUAGGUAGCUUAACCUUCGGGAGGGCGCUUACCACUUUGUGAUUCAUGACUGGGGUGAAGUCGUAACAAGGUAACCGUAGGGGAACCUGCGGUUGGAUCACCU